RNAcentral lists this ribosomal RNA (460 nucleotides) under uncultured bacterium. RNAcentral's name for it is "partial 16S ribosomal RNA". It matches the Rfam family "Bacterial small subunit ribosomal RNA", at positions 338 to 795 of the family's 1533-position model. The record is from RNAcentral.
CCUACGGGUGGCAGCAGUGAGGAAUAUUUGUCAAUGGGCGCGAGCCUGAACCAGCCAAGUAGCGUGAAGGAUGAAUGCCCUACGUGUUGUAAACUUCUUUUAUAAAGGAAUAAAGUGAGGCACGUGUGCCUGUUUGUAUGUACUUUAUGAAUAAGGAUCGGCUAACUCCGUGCCAGCAGCCGCGGUAAUACGGAGGAUGCGAGCGUUAGCCGGAUUUAUUGGGUUUAAAGGGAGCGUAGAUGGUUUGUUAAGUCCGUUGUGAAAGGUGGGGGCUCAACCGGAACAUUGCAAUUGAUACUGGCAGUCUUGAGUACAGGUGAGGUAGGCGGAAUUCGUGGUGUAGCGGUGAAAUGCUUAGAUAUCACGAAGAACUCCGAUUGCGAAGGCAGCUUACUAAACUGCCACUGACAUUGAGGCUCGAAAGUGUGGGUAUCGAACAGGAUUAGAUACCCUGGUAGUC